Molecule: unclassified non-coding RNA, 44 nt
Filed under: Sorangium cellulosum So ce56
Lineage: Bacteria; Pseudomonadati; Myxococcota; Polyangiales; Polyangiaceae
Description: sce_s2m_48
Source: RNAcentral
AGGCUCCCGGUCUGAACCGUUACCCAGGCCACCGGUCCGUACCA